AAGGACAGUGUAGGAGGAAAAAACGCAGAGAAGAGAAAAGAGAGAAGAAAAGGGAAGAAAAAGAAGGAGAAAAAGGAAAAAGGAAGAAGAAGAAGAAGAACAAAGAAAAGAGGUAGUUCAAGGUCUAUUUUCAUUUUUCUUUUCUCUUUAUUUUCUUCAAGAGGUAGAUAAAUUUUAUGUUAAAAUUCAAGGGUUUUAAUUUUGGCUCGAAAUUUUCAGAUUUGUCAAAUGAAUACUACUUGAAGCUCAAGUUAUUGAUUCUUGAAUUUCUAUCUACACUAAGGUAAGGAGAUAUCAAUUUUUUUGGGCAAAUCCUAGUUUUUAAAUUUGAUGAUUGAGCAUGGAUUAUUUGUGGAAAUGAUUACAUCAAUGGAAUUAAUCACCUGGAAGAAUGAUUUUGGGGAACGAUAGAUAUAUUAAUUUGGUUGUAGGAUGAUUGCUAGUUUUUCCCUAAAAUGAAAGGGAUAAAUAUUGUUAUAAUGGGACUGAAGUUAAAUUUGGAUGUGACAUAUAAUUGUGAAGGUAUUAGAAAGUGGAAAUUAGCUCCGACUGAUUAAAGGAAAUUUAGGAAAAUUUUGCACGUCUCGGGGAAUUUAGUUAAUUAUUAUAUCAUUAGAGAUAAAAGGUUUCUUUAAUUUAAUAGUGAUUAAAUUAGUUAUUUUGUAACGUAUUUCAGGUGGUGACGAAGAAAUUGGAAAAGCUUAUCGAUCCGCCUAGUCUGUAACCCGUAUUGUGUGAGUGGAU
This 744-nucleotide long non-coding RNA is filed under the name Olea europaea (common olive). Its description in RNAcentral is "long non-coding RNA (OEUR_LNC000686)". The record is from RNAcentral. Lineage: Eukaryota; Viridiplantae; Streptophyta; Magnoliopsida; Lamiales; Oleaceae.